RNAcentral lists this small RNA (254 nucleotides) under Arabidopsis thaliana (thale cress). RNAcentral's name for it is "ATSL183120". The record is from RNAcentral. Lineage: Eukaryota; Viridiplantae; Streptophyta; Magnoliopsida; Brassicales; Brassicaceae.
GGUAAUUAAUGUAUCAAUCAAUGCACAAAAGACUUUGAAUUCAUCGGAAUUAAACACACACACCUUAGUAAGAGUUAAGAAUAUGUUUCCACCGAACUAACAGAAACAUGAUACUAACAGAAACUCAAGUUGGUUGUUCGUGUAAUAAAAUCAAAACUAGAUCAUAAUCCGUGCUAGCACGGGCAUUAAUAUUUUGUAUAAAUUAAAUUAUAUACUUUGUUUGAAUUAUAUAGGAAAUAUUAUAGUACAAAAGU